RNAcentral lists this transfer RNA (78 nucleotides) under Clostridia bacterium. RNAcentral's name for it is "tRNA-Met". It matches the Rfam family "tRNA". From Rfam's summary of the family: Transfer RNA (tRNA) molecules are approximately 80 nucleotides in length. Their secondary structure includes four short double-helical elements and three loops (D, anti-codon, and T loops). Further hydrogen bonds mediate the characteristic L-shaped molecular structure. tRNAs have two regions of fundamental functional importance: the anti-codon, which is responsible for specific mRNA codon recognition, and the 3' end, to which the tRNAs corresponding amino acid is attached (by aminoacyl-tRNA synthetases). tRNAs cope with the degeneracy of the genetic code in two manners: having more than one tRNA (with a specific anti-codon) for a particular amino acid; and 'wobble' base-pairing, i.e. permitting non-standard base-pairing at the 3rd anti-codon position. Lineage: Bacteria; Bacillati; Bacillota; Clostridia. The record is from RNAcentral.
CGCGGGGUGGAGCAGCUUGGUAGCUCGUCGGGCCCAUAACCCGAAGGUCGUAUGGUUCAAAUCCUGCCCCCGCAACCA